GGCAGCUUGCUAAUAUUCAGCAGAGCUCCGAUACAUGAAACAAAGAAACAAAACACCAACAUUAUAACAACAAAAAAUAAAAAAGAUGGGCCGCAAAUUCGCAACAUUCU
Molecule: non-coding RNA, 110 nt
Filed under: Skeletonema dohrnii
Lineage: Eukaryota; Bacillariophyta; Thalassiosirophyceae; Thalassiosirales; Thalassiosiraceae
Source: RNAcentral